UUUUCGCGGUGGGACCCAAAGUGAGCGCAGCCUAGGCAUGAUGGGGGUUAUUUGAAAGGUCU
Molecule: non-coding RNA, 62 nt
Organism: Caenorhabditis elegans
Lineage: Eukaryota; Metazoa; Nematoda; Chromadorea; Rhabditida; Rhabditidae
Source: Ensembl